This 483-nucleotide ribosomal RNA is filed under the name uncultured soil bacterium. RNAcentral's name for it is "bacterial SSU rRNA". It matches the Rfam family "Bacterial small subunit ribosomal RNA", at positions 26 to 507 of the family's 1533-position model. The record is from RNAcentral.
AGAUUGAACGCUGGCGGCAGGCCUAACACAUGCAAGUCGAGCGGAUGAGAGGAGCUUGCUCCUUGAUUCAGCGGCGGACGGGUGAGUAAUGCCUAGGAAUCUGCCUAUUAGUGGGGGACAACGUUUCGAAAGGAACGCUAAUACCGCAUACGUCCUACGGGAGAAAGCAGGGGACCUUCGGGCCUUGCGCUAAUAGAUGAGCCUAGGUCGGAUUAGCUAGUUGGUGAGGUAAUGGCUCACCAAGGCUACGAUCCGUAACUGGUCUGAGAGGAUGAUCAGUCACACUGGAACUGAGACACGGUCCAGACUCCUACGGGAGGCAGCAGUGGGAAUAUUGGACAAUGGGCGAAAGCCUGAUCCAGCCAUGCCGCGUGUGUGAAGAAGGUCUUCGGACUGUAAAGCACUUUAAGUGGAAGGAAGGCAGUAAGCGAAUACCUUGCUGUUUUGACGUUACCGAACAGAAUAAGCACCGCUAACUCUGUG